Cavia porcellus (domestic guinea pig) is the source of this 164-nucleotide small nuclear RNA. Its record names the gene U1. It matches the Rfam family "U1 spliceosomal RNA". Rfam says of the family: U1 is a small nuclear RNA (snRNA) component of the spliceosome (involved in pre-mRNA splicing). Its 5' end forms complementary base pairs with the 5' splice junction, thus defining the 5' donor site of an intron. NCBI's taxonomy places the organism in Eukaryota, Metazoa, Chordata, Mammalia, Rodentia, Caviidae. The record is from Ensembl.
AGUUUUACCUGGCAGCGGAGAUACCAUGAUACUAAAGUGGUUUUCCCAGGGUAAGUCUUAUUCAUUGUUUCAUUGGAUAUGCUAAAACCUGUGAUUUCCCCAAAUGUGGCAAAAUUGACUGCAUAAUUUGUGGUAGUGAGAGACUGUGGUUUCACUUUCCAUUG